Molecule: ribosomal RNA, 253 nt
Filed under: uncultured bacterium
Lineage: Bacteria
Description: partial 16S ribosomal RNA
Rfam family: Bacterial small subunit ribosomal RNA
Source: RNAcentral
UACGUAGGGGGCAAGCGUUGUCCGGAUUUAUUGGGCGUAAAGAGCGUGUAGGCGGCCAAACAGGUCAGCUGUGAAACUCGAGGCUCAACCUCGAGACGUCGGUUGAAACCGUUUGGCUAGAGUCCGGAAGAGGAGAGUGGAAUUCCCGGUGUAGCGGUGAAAUGCGCAGAGUAUCGGGAAGAACACCCGUGGCGAAGGCGGCUCUCUGGGACGGUACUGACGCGUGAGACGCGAAAGCGUGGGAGCGAACAGG